Molecule: ribosomal RNA, 379 nt
Filed under: Rothia aeria
Lineage: Bacteria; Bacillati; Actinomycetota; Actinomycetes; Micrococcales; Micrococcaceae
Description: bacterial SSU rRNA
Rfam family: Bacterial small subunit ribosomal RNA
Source: RNAcentral
CUGAUGCAGCGACGCCGCGUGAGGGAUGACGGCCUUCGGGUUGUAAACCUCUGUUAGCAUCGAAGAAGCGAAAGUGACGGUAGGUGCAGAGAAAGCGCCGGCUAACUACGUGCCAGCAGCCGCGGUAAUACGUAGGGCGCGAGCGUUGUCCGGAAUUAUUGGGCGUAAAGAGCUUGUAGGCGGUUGGUCGCGUCUGCUGUGAAAGGCCGGGGCUUAACUCCGGUUUUGCAGUGGGUACGGGCUAACUAGAGUGCAGUAGGGGAGACUGGAAUUCCUGGUGUAGCGGUGGAAUGCACAGAUAUCAGGAGGAACACCGAUGGCGAAGGCAGGUCUCUGGGCUGUAACUGACGCUGAGAAGCGAAAGCAUGGGGAGCGAACA